RNAcentral lists this microRNA precursor (102 nucleotides) under Marmota monax (woodchuck). The record is from RNAcentral. Lineage: Eukaryota; Metazoa; Chordata; Mammalia; Rodentia; Sciuridae.
AGUGUAGUUGCUGGAUCAUGAGGUAUAUGAGUAUUUAGUUUCCUAAGAAAUUGCCAAACUGCCUUCGAAAGUUGUAGCAAUGUUUGCAUUCCCAACAGCAAU